This 497-nucleotide ribosomal RNA is filed under the name uncultured bacterium. Its description in RNAcentral is "partial 16S ribosomal RNA". It matches the Rfam family "Bacterial small subunit ribosomal RNA", at positions 28 to 507 of the family's 1533-position model. The record is from RNAcentral.
GAUGAACGCUGGCGGCGUGCCUAAUACAUGCAAGUCGAGCGAACAGACGAGGAGCUUGCUCCUUUGACGUUAGCGGCGGACGGGUGAGUAACACGUGGGUAACCUACCUAUAAGACUGGGAUAACUUCGGGAAACCGGAGCUAAUACCGGAUAAUAUUUCGAACCGCAUGGUUCGAUAGUGAAAGAUGGCUUUGCUAUCACUUAUAGAUGGACCUGCGCCGUAUUAGCUAGUUGGUAAGGUAACGGCUUACCAAGGCAACGAUACGUAGCCGACCUGAGAGGGUGAUCGGCCACACUGGAACUGAGACACGGUCCAGACUCCUACGGGAGGCAGCAGUAGGGAAUCUUCCGCAAUGGGCGAAAGCCUGACGGAGCAACGCCGCGUGAGUGAUGAAGGUCUUCGGAUCGUAAAACUCUGUUAUUAGGGAAGAACAAACGUGUAAGUAACUGUGCACGUCUUGACGGUACCUAAUCAGAAAGCCACGGCUAGCUACGUG